This 258-nucleotide ribosomal RNA is filed under the name uncultured bacterium. RNAcentral's name for it is "partial 16S ribosomal RNA". It matches the Rfam family "Bacterial small subunit ribosomal RNA", at positions 524 to 776 of the family's 1533-position model. The record is from RNAcentral.
UACGUAGGUGGCAAGCGUUGUCCGGAAUUAUUGGGCGUAAAGCGCGCGCAGGCGGCCUCUUAAGUCUGAUGUGAAAAGCCCCCCGGCUCAACCGGGGGAGGGCCAUUGGAAACUGGGAGGCUUGAGUAUAGGAGAGAAGAGUGGAAUUCCACGUGUAGCGGUGAAAUGCGUAGAGAUGUGGAGGAACACCAGUGGCGAAGGCGACUCUUUGGCCUAUAACUGACGCUGAGGCGCGAAAAGCGUGGGGGAGCAAACAGG